This 954-nucleotide ribosomal RNA is filed under the name uncultured zygomycete. Its description in RNAcentral is "eukaryotic LSU rRNA". It matches the Rfam family "Eukaryotic large subunit ribosomal RNA", at positions 1 to 811 of the family's 3401-position model. Lineage: Eukaryota; Fungi. The record is from RNAcentral.
AACUCGAUCUCAAAUCAAGUAAGACUACCCGCUGAACUUAAGCAUAUCAAUAAGCGGAAGGAAAAGAAACUAACAAGGAUUCCCCUAGUAACGGCGAGUGAAGCGGGAUGAGCUCAAAUUUAAAAUCUGGCUGGUUUACUAGUCCGAAUUGUAGUUUAUAGAAGCGUUUUCGGUGGCAGCCUGGGUAUAAAUCCUUUGGAAUAGGGUAUCAUAGAGGGUGAGAAUCCCGUCUUUGACUCAGUGCAUGCUACUAUGUGAUACGUUUUCAAAGAGUCGAGUUGUUUGGGAAUGCAGCUCAAAAUGGGUGGUAAAUUUCAUCUAAAGCUAAAUAUUGGCGAGAGACCGAUAGCGAACAAGUACCGUGAGGGAAAGAUGAAAAGAACUUUGAAAAGAGAGUUAAACAGUGCGUGAAAUUGUUGAAAGGGAAACGUUUGACACCAGUUAUGCGGGUGGAAAAUCAGUCUUUUGCAAUGGGGAGUUGUGGGCGUUCAGACCGCAAGGCUGGCGUUUGCUUCAUCUUUGUUGUAAGUGAUGCACUUUUUCAUUUGCAGGUCAACAUCAGUUUGCUUUGCUGGACAAAACCCCAAGGGAAGGUGGCAGCUUAGGCUGUGUUAUAGCCCUGGGGCGAUACAGUGGAGUGGACUGAGGUUUCGCAGUGUGUGCUCUCGGGCAAGGCUGACUGGGUGCUAUGGGAUCGUUCGGCGUACAAUGCAUGCAUUUUGCGUCGUGUCUUUUUCAUACUCGCUCAACUCGGCUCUUCCACACUUAGGAUGUUGACUUAAUGGUUUUAAACGACCCGUCUUGAAACACGGACCAAGGAGUCUAACAUAUAUGCAAGUGUUUGGGUGGCAAACCCAUGCGCGUAAUGAAAGUGAACGUAGGUGCGAUCCGCAAGGUGCAGCAUCGACCGAUCUUGAUAUUUUUGGAUAGAUUUGAGUAAGAGCAUAUAUGCUG